CCUACGGGUGGCAGCAGUGAGGAAUAUUGGUCAAUGGGCUUACGCCUGAACCAGCCAAGCCGCGUGAGGGAGGAAGGCGCAGAGCGUCGCAGACCUCUUUUGCCGGGGGACAAAAGGCCGGACUCGUCCGGUCCUGAGGGUACCCGGAGAAAAAGCAUCGGCUCACUCCGUGCCAGCAGACGCGGUAAUACGGAGGAUGCGAGCGUUAUCCGGAUUCAUUGGGUUUAAAGGGUGCGCAGGCGGGCCUUUAAGCCGGCGGGGAAAUCGCGGGGCUCAACCCCGCCGAGCCGUCGGAACUGGGGGCCGUGAGGGCGGCGGAGGCAUGCGGAAUGCGCGGUGUAGCGGUGAAAUGCAUAGAUAUCGCGCAGAACCCCGAUUGCGAAGGCAGCGGGCCGUGCCGCCACUGACGCUGAGGCACGAAAGCGCGGGGAUCGAACAGGAUUAGAUACCCUGGUAGUC
RNAcentral lists this ribosomal RNA (459 nucleotides) under uncultured bacterium. Its description in RNAcentral is "partial 16S ribosomal RNA". It matches the Rfam family "Bacterial small subunit ribosomal RNA", at positions 338 to 795 of the family's 1533-position model. The record is from RNAcentral.